Long non-coding RNA from Ostrea edulis (European flat oyster), 440 nucleotides. RefSeq lists it as uncharacterized. The transcript has 3 exons. Lineage: Eukaryota; Metazoa; Mollusca; Bivalvia; Ostreida; Ostreidae. The record is from RefSeq and is a predicted model, not a curated record.
ACUCUAGCAUCCAAUCGUCUACGUAUUCGUAGAAAAAGUAAAUGUUGUGGAAUUUAACGCUUUAUUGCAUCACAUCCGACUAAAAAAAUGACCAGGGAAACAGAAGGCUGACAGACAUAUUCAUAGAAAAUAUGAAAAAGCCCUGCCUGUUGCCGUGUUGGAACUUGUAUUGACCUGUAUGAGCAUCAUACUGUGCAACUCUCCUAAAGAUGGAGUUGACCAAGUUGCUGACUUUGAGGAGAACUUGAAGAGCAGAAGAUGCAUUCCAUGACUCUUAUGUGAUAUAGAAGACAAAGAAGAGCUCUUGAGAAUGGGGAAAAAAACUGCGAGUUUUACAGUCAAUGAACACACCUCACGACACAAGUCCAUCCUGAUUCAGUAAACUAUUCUUCUAAGGAAACACCAUGACUUAGUUAAGAUCAAGUUUUGGUGUCAGAAGA